GACGAACGCUGGCGGCGUGCUCAACACAUGCAAGUCGAACGGGCAACGAGGGAGCUUGCUUCCUCCGGAUCAGAGGCGAAAGGGUGAGUAACACGUGAGCAAUCUGCCCCGAACUCUGGGAUAAGCGUUGGAAACGACGUCUAAUACCGGAUACGACGCGGGACGGCAUCCUCUCCGCGUGGAAAGAACUUCGCUUCGGGAUGAGCUCGCGGCCUAUCAGCUUGUUGGUGAGGUAACGGCUCACCAAGGCGACGACGGGUAGCCGGCCUGAGAGGAUGACCGGCCACACUGGGACUGAGGCACGGCCCAGACUCCUACGGGAGACAGCAGUGGAGAAUAUUGUACAAUGAGCGCAAGCCUGAUGCAGCAACGCCGCGUGAGGGACAACGGCCUUCGGGUUGUAAACCUCUUUUAGCAGGGAAGAAGCGAAAGUGACGGUACCUGCAGAAAAAGCACCGGCUAACUACGUG
RNAcentral lists this ribosomal RNA (470 nucleotides) under uncultured bacterium. Its description in RNAcentral is "partial 16S ribosomal RNA". It matches the Rfam family "Bacterial small subunit ribosomal RNA", at positions 28 to 507 of the family's 1533-position model. The record is from RNAcentral.